AGGUUGCAGCACGCUGCCGUGAUACAGCCGGAGCCCAGCAGAGAGAAGUGACACAAGCUUUACCGCCUGCGCCAGAAGGGGAAGGGGACUUCCAGGCCAUGUUGCGAAGUGGCAGUAAAAAAGGUGGAAAGAAAACUCCCACAGAACUGCCUUAACAUCAGAUAGAGACAACAGGCAUGAUGAGCCCUGCAAAGCCCCGUGGCACAGGGUGAUCUGGACAAGGGAGCGCCUGUGCAGCAGUCACACAGAAAGCAAGAGAGUGUCCUGUGGGUUUAGAACAAACAAAAAACAGCUUCAGCCUUCAUGAGUCAGAGCCCGGAAAAACACCUUGCUUUGGAGACUGCCUGGAUUUCAGUGGGAUUUUGCCUUCAGAAAAGCUGGGAUGAGUUUCACAGAAGCUAGCAUCACUUACAGUGUGCAAACUCAACACAAUCAGAAGCCUGAUUAAAAACAACAACAACAAAAAAGUAUUUCUCUUAGUCAUAGAUGCAUCAGAUGUAAAACAGUCAUUUGAUUCAGUAGAUACACCAACCUUCAGAAUGGGAGAAGUUCCAGGAUUUUCCUAAAAGGACGGGGGCUCCACAUGAAUCACCCUCGCCUUUCAACUCCUUUCACCAGUGGCACGUGCCAGGAUGUCUCAUGGUUAUUAAAGUGGCAAGCAAGGGGAGGACAUCCAGAUCUGAGGGCAAACAUUCCCUGGCUUCAAUGCUUUUCAUGAACCUUUCCCAAGCAGUUAGCACAUACUGUUACCAACAAGGUAAAAACACUUAACCACUUAUCCCUCUGCCCUGUGCAUCCCCAAUGCCUCCCGCACUGGAAUGUAAAUGUUCAAAAAAAGAAGAAAAAAAACCCACCAUCAGACACUACCCCCACCUUCAUCCUGCCUCACCAAGCUGAAAGACGUAGAACUCCUUCCCAAAGGUGAUCAUUCUGAAACCU
Cygnus atratus (black swan) is the source of this 939-nucleotide long non-coding RNA. RefSeq lists it as uncharacterized. Lineage: Eukaryota; Metazoa; Chordata; Aves; Anseriformes; Anatidae. The transcript is spliced from 3 exons. The record is from RefSeq and is a predicted model, not a curated record.